AGGAUGAACGCUGGCGGCGUGCCUAAUACAUGCAAGUCGAGCGGCAGCGCAGGGUGCUUGCACCCUGGCGGCGAGCGGCGGACGGCUGAGUAACGCGUAGGAACGUACCCUAAAGUGAGGAAUAACUGCCCGAAAGGGUGGCUAAUGCCGCAUGUGCUCUUCGGAGUAAAGCUUCGGCGCUUUGGGAACGGCCUGCGUCCGAUUAGCUAGUUGGUAAGGUAAUGGCUUACCAAGGCUACGAUCGGUAGCUGGUCUGAGAGGAUGACCAGCCAGACUGGGACUGAGAACGGCCCAGACUCCUACGGGAGGCAGCAGUGAGGAAUUUUCCGCAAUGGGCGAAAGCCUGACGGAGCGACGCCGCGUGUGGGAAGAAGGCCUUCGGGUCGUAACCACUGUCGAAGGGGACGAUAAUGACGGUACCCUUGGAGGAAGCCCCGGCUAACUACGUGCCAGCAGCCGC
This 460-nucleotide ribosomal RNA is filed under the name uncultured bacterium. RNAcentral's name for it is "SSU rRNA". It matches the Rfam family "Bacterial small subunit ribosomal RNA", at positions 26 to 518 of the family's 1533-position model. The record is from RNAcentral.